RNAcentral lists this ribosomal RNA (489 nucleotides) under uncultured bacterium. Its description in RNAcentral is "bacterial SSU rRNA". It matches the Rfam family "Bacterial small subunit ribosomal RNA", at positions 28 to 507 of the family's 1533-position model. The record is from RNAcentral.
GAUGAACGCUAGCUACAGGCUUAACACAUGCAAGUCGAGGGGCAGCAUGAACUUAGCUUGCUAAGUUUGAUGGCGACCGGCGCACGGGUGAGUAACACGUAUCCAACCUGCCGAUGACUCGGGGAUAGCCUUUCGAAAGAAAGAUUAAUACCCGAUGGCAUAAUUCUUCCGCAUGGUAGAACUAUUAAAGAAUUUCGGUCAUUGAUGGGGAUGCGUUCCAUUAGGUUGUUGGCGGGGUAACGGCCCACCAAGCCUUCGAUGGAUAGGGGUUCUGAGAGGAAGGUCCCCCACAUUGGAACUGAGACACGGUCCAAACUCCUACGGGGGGCAGCAGUGAGGAAUAUUGGUCAAUGGACGAGAGUCUGAACCAGCCAAGUAGCGUGAAGGAUGACUGCCCUAUGGGUUGUAAACUUCUUUUAUACGGGAAUAAAGUGAGGCACGUGUGCCUUUUUGUAUGUACCGUAUGAAUAAGGAUCGGCUAACUCCGUG